Molecule: long non-coding RNA, 373 nt
Organism: Lathyrus oleraceus (garden pea)
Lineage: Eukaryota; Viridiplantae; Streptophyta; Magnoliopsida; Fabales; Fabaceae
Exons: 4
Source: RefSeq, a predicted model, not a curated record
UAAAAAAUAUUCAGCAGUUUCUCGCAUUUUCUUUUUUAUAUUAUACUGGUAAGGGUUGUAUUGUGUUUUGAUUUCACUGUUUCUUUUGGUCAUAUUUGAUAGGGAGAGCCAGCCGUUGAGGUUACAAAUGAAGGUGUUGAUGCUGCAGGGCAUACAAUUGGUACAUCUUUGGAGGUCGUGUUCAAACUUAGGAAGGUUCUCAACCCCAAGAGUGUGAUCAAACCAACAUCACUAGCUAAAGAUUAUUUUGAGAAUAACAUCUAUCGAAUAAAUUUCAGACGAAAGACCUUGGUAAACUCCUAUAUUUUUUGGGUAUUGAGGUAGUCCAAUCUAAAGAUGAUAUGGUAAUUUCUCCGGGGAAAUAUGCUAUGGA